This 213-nucleotide unclassified non-coding RNA is filed under the name uncultured fungus. Its description in RNAcentral is "sequence contains ITS1". The stretch from base 1 to 107 matches the Rfam family "5.8S ribosomal RNA", at positions 50 to 154 of the family's 154-position model. Rfam says of the family: 5.8S ribosomal RNA (5.8S rRNA) is a component of the large subunit of the eukaryotic ribosome. The record is from RNAcentral. Lineage: Eukaryota; Fungi.
GAAAUGCGAUACUUGGUGUGAAUUGCAGAAUCCCGUGAACCAUCGAGUCUUUGAACGCAAGUUGCGCCCGAAGCCAUUAGGCCGAGGGCACGCCUGCCUGGGUGUCACACAUCGUUUCCCCAACGCAAACAUGUAACAAUGUUGCUGCGCGGGAGGUCAGCAUACACCCCGCGAGCACCCGCCUCGUGGUUGGUUGAAAUCUGGGUUCAUGGC